This 1723-nucleotide long non-coding RNA is filed under the name Daphnia pulex (common water flea). Its description in RNAcentral is "uncharacterized LOC124207568". The record is from RNAcentral. Lineage: Eukaryota; Metazoa; Arthropoda; Branchiopoda; Diplostraca; Daphniidae.
UUCAAUGAUUCUGUUACAAUUAAAAAAAAAUGUGACAGUAACAUUGAAUUUUUAAAUUGAAACAAAAUGAUUUCCAUUUUGAAUAGUUUUUAACAUGAACGAGCAGUUUCUUGCUGUCCGCCAUUAUUAUCAUUGCUGCAAGUAUCCUGUGUUCGGCUUCUGUGCCAAGUGCUAACUUACGACAUUUUUUCCCAAGAGGAGGAGGAAUUGUGUUGGAAACGAAAGACGUUGGAAACAAAAUGAUUUCCAUUUUGAAUAGUUUUUAACAUGAACGAGCAGUUUCUUGCUGUCCGCCAUUAUUAUCAUUGCUGCAAGUAUCCUGUGUUCGGCUUCUGUGCCAAGUGCUAAUUUAAGACAUUUUUUCCCAAGAGGAGGAGGAAUUGUGUUGGAAACGAAAGACGUCCCCAACGGCCGACGACGAGAUCCGGCCGGACAACCAGGAUUCCGGCCCAUUUACGGGAGUACGAUCUUCGGGGCCCCCGAUAGGUGGUCCCUUGUCACCCGCCUAACUGUACUGAUUCUUUGUGCCCUUUCCCCCCCCCCCCCCUGGUGUCAAUGUAAUGUUUUGGAGGGGGUCGGGCCCUCUCUGUCUCUAUCUAUCCAUACUACAAGUCAGUUCAAUACAAGUCAGGUUAGCAAUCUAAAAUCAGUGUCCUCAUCUUUAUUCAUUUCAUCCAAUAUUCGGUAAGGCAAACUUGACACUACUUCCCUGCCGAAAAAAUUGAUAGAAAAGACAAAUCAAAACUGAAAAAGAUGAAAGCUGCAGCUUUUGACAGUGAUGAUGAUGGCGAAGGUAUUGCAAAUCAGUUUACAAAAAUUUUCAUGAUUUUGAGCUUUUUUUAAUCUAUAAUAAUGCGAUGCGAACUGUAUGCAGACAACUGAUGAGCCUAAACCUAUUGCCGGCGGAAAAAAUAUCGAAACAAUUCUAUGUCAUUGUAGAAGAAGUAAGUAAGAUGCGUGAUGGCGCACUACUGAAAACCUUUUGCAAUUACGUAGAACGGCAAUGGAUCAAACAUUCGUUAUGGCCACCAACAACAUGGUCGAUGUUUAUGGAACAUCGUCGCACAAACAACAAUGCAGAAGGUACUACACUAUUACACUAUAACAUUAUACUAUAAAUUUUAAAAAAAUUUAAUUAGGGUACCACAAUUCCUUAAAAGUGGAAGUUGCAACAGCCAGAGUGUAUCUGGUAAAAUUUAUUCAGUUAAUGAAAGCCGAGGCAGAAAAGAUAGACUGGAAAGCCAAAUUAUUGUCGCAAGAGCAACAACUACAAAAGUAAAAGAGAUGGCGAUGAAUUGGAUGACCAAGUCAGUAACAAUGAAAAAUAUAUAGGACAAGAAAGAGGGAGAGAUGCCAAUGCAUAUGAUUUAUGCAAAGAUGGAGAGCAUAGCAAAUGUGUAGAAGAUGAGGAAGAAGAGAAUGUUAAUGAAGAUAGACUGGAAAGCCAAAUUAUUGAAAAUAAAGCACAGUGAAAUGGUGAAGAAGAUUGAGAAGAAAAGUAUGAUGAGGAAGGAAGGAAAACUCGCAAAAAGACUAAGGUGGUUGAUGUGAGAAAGAAAUCAGAACAAAAAACUAGCCACGAUGAAUAUUAACCCUAGUGAACUUGAACAGGCUCAUGAUACUGAUUUCCAUUCAACGGUGAAACUUAGUUACUAUUACGAUAGUUUUUUUUAUUCUUGUUUCUAAUGGUAAACAUUAAUUUAACAGAUUAUAAAACCUGUUA